UGGGGAAUAUUGCACAAUGGGCGCAAGCCUGAUGCAGCCAUGCCGCGUGUAUGAAGAAGGCCUUCGGGUUGUAAAGUACUUUCAGCGGGGAGGAAGGGAGUAAAGUUAAUACCUUUGCUCAUUGACGUUACCCGCAGAAGAAGCACCGGCUAACUCCGUGCCAGCAGCCGCGGUAAUACGGAGGGUGCAAGCGUUAAUCGGAAUUACUGGGCGUAAAGCGCACGCAGGCGGUUUGUUAAGUCAGAGGUGAAAUCCCCGGGCUCAACCUGGGAACUGCAUCUGAUACUGGUAAGCUUGAGUCUCGUAGAGGCGGGUAGAAUUCCAGGUGUAGCGGUGAAAUGCGUAGAGAUCUGGAGGAAUACCGGUGGCGAAGGCGGCCCCCUGGACGAAGACUGACGCUCAGGUGCGAAAGCGUGGGGAGCAAACAGG
This 429-nucleotide ribosomal RNA is filed under the name Chloroflexota bacterium. RNAcentral describes it as "Chloroflexi bacterium partial 16S ribosomal RNA". It matches the Rfam family "Bacterial small subunit ribosomal RNA", at positions 355 to 776 of the family's 1533-position model. Lineage: Bacteria; Bacillati; Chloroflexota. The record is from RNAcentral.